AGCAGCCGCUUCUGGGCAGCAACAGGCGGGAGAGAUCGUCAUGGCAGCGUCGACGGUGCGGGCUGACCAAGGCUAGCGGCUGCUCUCCCUCCGGGGAAGAUGCCAGCUUCCAGCGCGCUUCGUAGCCGAGUUGACAUUUCCCCUCGCCGAGAGCGUAGGAAGCUCCCUUGCUUAGACUGAGUUAGACCGUUUGUCUGCAUUGUCUGCUGUGGGGUUGAGCUGGGGACCUCCCCCCGCAUCAUGCCCGCCCUGCGCUCUCUCUGCCCUUUGCAAAGGGGCCCAAGCAGGACUCUGGGUGUGCAGGAGGAAGAAAAUAUACUUUUGAGCCCAGGAUUUUCCAUGCUUGCUUUGGGCCAGGGAACUGAACUGUAACAAAAAUGGAGAAAAGACCCAGAAAGCUUGUGUAAAUUGGAACCAAACCAGAGGCAUAAUUUCUAGUACAUAUUGGGUCCAAGUUGGAACUCAGCAACAGAAGUGAUGUUUCUUGGAGACCUCCAUCCUGCCUAAUCCUGCACUGUGAUCCACAUCUAUCCUGCAUUCAGUACAAAAAGCCAGAAUGCUGGUGUUGACAGGACAUCGGGACCUAUUUUUCUGACACAGAGGUUAUUUCCAUGGAGAAAACACAGCAUGUGUGAAGCAGCCUUUAUAGAUGGUGGAUUCUGCACAAGUGAUAAAUUUUAAGCUGGUGAUCAGUGACUAAGGCCAUCUGUUUUUAAUAUGCAUUAUUAUAAGUGCAUAAUGUAGGGUGAAUGUUUUCAAGUCACAACUGCCCAAAGAUAAGCCUGUAAUGCAAGAUAUUUUAGUAAACAGAAGGAAUGAAGGACCUCCUACAUUCUCAUGCCAAUGAAAAAACACAUGAAGAUUUCCCACAGGCACCAGUGCAGGGCUAGCCAAUGUGGUGACUUCCUCAUGUUGACAGAGUACAAGUCCAUCAGUAGUCCCGAAAACAUCCGGAGGGCACCAUGUUGGCUAUCCCAGCAGUUGUGGAUGAACCUUAAGUAAGAUUUGAACACGUUAACAGUGUAGAACAAGUUGGAGAGCAACUGUUACAGCAAGUUUCCUGUGAAAAUUGGGAUAUAAUGGACCACUUGGAGAGACCUGGGACCAUCUGACUACCUUCUCGUUGCGUUUGUCAUUCACUUGAUCCGCAUGGAAAAGAACUUGGGCAGCUUGCAACACCAUAGCAGCAGGUAAGCUUGGCCGAGAACAGGUGACAAAGAGAUGGCACUUCAGAACAGCAGCAGCAAAGAUGACCUAUUUACCUAUAGAUAGCCUCGCUUUGCAUCAGUGGAGUACUGGAAAUAGAGCUGGGAAUAAAGCAUAGCGUUUGCAAAAAGCACAGCCUCGGUUACGUGCUUUUACAACUUUUUUUAACUUUCAGAGACUGAACCUUGCAGGAACCUCACAUUUUCCUGGCUCAGCUUGAACUUCUUCAACUCUACGUUUCUUGGCUUGUAUCCCAAGAUUCUUCAAGCCCCAGAAAUGGAGACACUCAACAAAGUUUUAAAUACAGAGGUGGGGGGAGGGGAUGAGAAGAGAUGGGGGAAAGGCUUCUUGAUCCACCCAGGGUCAAGGGGAUGCAUGUUAAGUACAUACUACCAGUCAUGUGCAUUAUUAUUUUUUUGUUUAAAGCAGCUUUUAAACAAAAGUUCUGAAGUCUCUUGGGAGAAGAGCAGAUACUCAUAAAUAACAAUUGUUUCUUCCUAGUUUCAUAUUUCAGGAUCUGGAAGUAGCAUGGAUUUAAUUUUCAGUGAAAAGAAUAGGGGGAGAUAGAGCCCCCCCCCAAUUUAUGUUGUUGCCAUGGCUCAUUUAAUGGAGGCAGCUAAGUCAAGAGGGCCCAGACCUCCAACCUGAAGGGCUCUCCAACAGAGGCAAUUAUUUUUCUGCCUCCCGAGUGCGAAACAAGAAUAGGAAACCUGUGGCCCUGUUGCUGGACUACAACUUGCAUCAUCCCUGCCCAUCGGCUGUACUGGCUGGCGCUGCUGGGAACGAGUCUGAGAACAUCUGGAGGGCCACAGGUUCCUGUUAAAAAUGCACCGUUUCAGAUAACCCACCACGACUGUAUUGAGGGGAAAAUGGGAUUCCGCAUUGGCCCUUGGUUGGUUCCCCCUACUUCCAUCCGUGUAUCAUCCAUCCAUAUAUAGGGAUGGGAAAGAAACAGACCUGCUCUGCUGCAGGCACCUUCACUGCACUCUUUUGGCACCUGCUAGAAACAUUCUGGUUUAGACAAGCGCACCCAGAUGCUUAUUUUAAUCCGUUUCAGUAUUUUAAUUUGUGUGUUUCAAAGUAUGGUUGUAUUUGGCCCCCCUUAAUUUUCUUGUUUUAACUUUUUGUAAAGCGGUUAACCCCCCCCUCAACUAAGCGGUGUAUAAAUCUUAUGAAAUAAAUAUGAGGGGGGUGGGGAGACUCCGCUUCUGCCCUCAUCCCUCCACUGCGUU
Podarcis muralis (Common wall lizard) is the source of this 2438-nucleotide long non-coding RNA. RefSeq lists it as uncharacterized. NCBI's taxonomy places the organism in Eukaryota, Metazoa, Chordata, Lepidosauria, Squamata, Lacertidae. The record is from RefSeq and is a predicted model, not a curated record.